CCCGGUGUAGCGGUGAAAUGCGUAGAUAUCGGGAAGAACACCAGUGGCGAAGGCGCUCUGCUGGGCCAUCACUGACGCUCAUGGACGAAAGCCAGGGGAGCGAAAGGGAUUAGAUACCCCUGUAGUCCUGGCCGUAAACGAUGAACACUAGGUGUCGGGGGAAUCGACCCCCUCGGUGUCGUAGCCAACGCGUUAAGUGUUCCGCCUGGGGAGUACGCACGCAAGUGUGAAACUCAAAGGAAUUGACGGGGGCCCGCACAAGCGGUGGAGUAUGUGGUUUAAUUCGAUGCAACGCGAAGAACCUUACCAGAGUUUGACAUCCUGCGAAUCUCUUGGAAACAGGAGAGUGCCUUCGGGAACGCAGUGACAGGUGGUGCAUGGCUGUCGUCAGCUCGUGUCGUGAGAUGUUGGGUUAAGUCCCGCAACGAGCGCAACCCACGUCUUUAGUUGCCAGCAUUUAGUUGGGCACUCUAGAGAGACUGCCGGUGAUAAACCGGAGGAAGGUGUGGAUGACGUCAAGUCAUCAUGCCCCUUACAUCCUGGGCUACACACGUACUACAAUGCUACGGACAAAGGGCAGCAAGUUCGCGAGGACAAGCAAAUCCCAUAAACCGUGGCUCAGUUCAGAUCGUAGGCUGCAACUCGCCUACGUGAAGGCGGAAUCGCUAGUAAUCGCAGGUCAGCAUACUGCGGUGAAUACGUUCCCGGGCCUUGUACACACCGCCCGUCACACCAUGGAAGUUGGCCACGCCCGAAGCCGUUACUCCAACCCUUGUGGAGGAGGACGUCGAAGGUGGGGCUGAUGACUGGGGUGAAGUCGUAACAAGGUAACC
RNAcentral lists this ribosomal RNA (833 nucleotides) under uncultured Synechococcus sp. RNAcentral's name for it is "bacterial SSU rRNA". It matches the Rfam family "Bacterial small subunit ribosomal RNA", at positions 669 to 1501 of the family's 1533-position model. Lineage: Bacteria; Bacillati; Cyanobacteriota; Cyanophyceae; Synechococcales; Synechococcaceae. The record is from RNAcentral.